Molecule: ribosomal RNA, 253 nt
Filed under: uncultured bacterium
Lineage: Bacteria
Description: partial 16S ribosomal RNA
Rfam family: Bacterial small subunit ribosomal RNA
Source: RNAcentral
UACGGAGGGUGCAAGCGUUAUCCGGAUUCACUGGGUUUAAAGGGUGCGUAGGAGGGCAGGGAAGUCCGUGAUGAAAUCUCCUAGCUUAACUCGGAAACUGCCGUGGAUACUCUCUGUCUUGAAUCCCGUGGAGAUGAGCGGAAUAUGUCAUGUAGCGGUGAAAUGCUUAGAUAUGACAUAGAACACCAAUUGCGAAGGCAGCUCGUUACACGAAGAUUGACUCUGAGGCACGAAAGCGUGGGGAGCAAACAGG